RNAcentral lists this long non-coding RNA (660 nucleotides) under Vigna radiata. RNAcentral describes it as "long non-coding RNA (VRAD_LNC002082)". Lineage: Eukaryota; Viridiplantae; Streptophyta; Magnoliopsida; Fabales; Fabaceae. The record is from RNAcentral.
AUCUUAUUAACAUCGAUUAGUAGGUGUACCUUUUGUAUCCUUCAGUGAAUACAUAAUCAACCUAGCAUCCCUAAGUAGAUGCUCAAACACUCAUUAGUAGGUGUUGAUAUUCCUUUUUUCUUGAUAUUCUUUUCUUUUUCUUGUUUCUAUUGAAUUUCUUCAGAAAGUUGAGAACACCAAGCACCUGUUUCCAUGUCCCAAUCAUAGGAACUUUAAUCUCCAAUUUCUUGAAGAUUUCCAUAUAUCUCCAAAGUUUCUUUUCCUUCCUAUGAUAUUUCUUUUGAUGAGGAAGAGAUUUUUCAUAUGAUCUUUUCUUCUUUCCUCUCUUCCUCUUUUUCUCACUCUUCUCCUCCCUCAACUUUUGUCUUUUUCUUUUCUCUUACUUUCCUUUUUUUUCACAUUUUUUCUCUUUUUUUCUUUUUUUACUUUUUUCUUUAUUUUCACGCAUUUUCUCUAUUUUUCUUUUCUAUCAACCAUUUCUUUUUCUUUUUCCUCAUCUUUUUCUUCUUCACUUAACUUUUUUGUCUUCAUCUCCUCAUCAACAACCUUAUCACUUUCAAAGAUAAUGGCUUCACACUCCUCCUUAAGGUUAACUUCAGUACUAACCCUAAAAUCAUCCAGAGAUGCAGUCACGCAACCCAAUUCUGUCUCGUUCCUUUU